GUCGACGAUGAACCUCACUUGUGGGGGGAUUAGUGGCGAACGGGUGAGUAACACGUGAGUAACCUGCCCUUAACUCUGGGAUAAGCCUUGGAAACGGGGUCUAAUACCGGAUAUUUACUUCCUGCCGCAUGGUGGGUUGUGGAAAGAUUUAUUGGUUUUGGAUGGACUCGCGGCCUAUCAGCUUGUUGGUGAGGUAAUGGCUUACCAAGGCGACGACGGGUAGCCGGCCUGAGAGGGUGACCGGCCACACUGGGACUGAGACACGGCCCAGACUCCUACGGGAGGCAGCAGUGGGGAAUAUUGCACAAUGGGCGCAAGCCUGAUGCAGCGACGCCGCGUGAGGGAUGAAGGCCUUCGGGUUGUAAACCUCUUUCAGUAGGGAACAAGGCCGGCUUUGGUUGGUUGAGGGUACCUGCAGAAGAAGCGCCGGCUAACUACGUGCCAGCAGCCGCGGUAAUACGUAGGGCGCAAGCGUUAUCCGGAAUUAUUGGGCGUAAAGAGCUCGUAGGCGGUUUGUCGCGUCUGCCGUGAAAGUCCGGGGCUCAACUCCGGAUCUGCGGUGGGUACGGGCAGACUAGAGUGCAGUAGGGGAGACUGGAAUUCCUGGUGUAGCGGUGAAAUGCGCAGAUAUCAGGAGGAACACCGAUGGCGAAGGCAGGUCUCUGGGCUGUAACUGACGCUGAGGAGCGAAAGCAUGGGGAGCGAACAGGAUUAGAUACCCUGGUAGUCCAU
This 732-nucleotide ribosomal RNA is filed under the name Arthrobacter psychrochitiniphilus. Its description in RNAcentral is "bacterial SSU rRNA". It matches the Rfam family "Bacterial small subunit ribosomal RNA", at positions 61 to 798 of the family's 1533-position model. Lineage: Bacteria; Bacillati; Actinomycetota; Actinomycetes; Micrococcales; Micrococcaceae. The record is from RNAcentral.